RNAcentral lists this ribosomal RNA (551 nucleotides) under uncultured Acaulospora. RNAcentral's name for it is "SSU rRNA". It matches the Rfam family "Eukaryotic small subunit ribosomal RNA", at positions 548 to 1098 of the family's 1831-position model. The record is from RNAcentral. Lineage: Eukaryota; Fungi; Glomeromycota; Glomeromycetes; Diversisporales; Acaulosporaceae.
UUGGAGGGCAAGUCUGGUGCCAGCAGCCGCGGUAAUUCCAGCUCCAAUAGCGUAUAUUAAAGUUGUUGCAGUUAAAAAGCUCGUAGUUGAAUUUCGGAGUUUGUCGGUCGGUCGGGCUUCACUGUCCGCACUGGCCUGAUGAAUUCCUACCUUCUGAAUAACCAGCAUGCUAUUAAGUUAGUGCGUUGGGGAAGCAGAGCUAUUACCUUGAAAAAAUUAGAGUGCUUAAAGCAGGCUUAUGCUUGAAUAGAUUAGCAUGGAAUAAUAAAAUAGGACGGCAUGGUUUUAUUUUGUUGGUUUCUAGGAUCACCGUAAUGAUUAAUAGGGAUAGUUGGGGGCAUUAGUAUUCAAUUGUCAGAGGUGAAAUUCUUGGAUUUAUUGAAGACUAACUUCUGCGAAAGCAUUUGCCAAGGAUGUUUUCAUUAAUCAAGAACGAAAGUUAGGGGAUCGAAGACGAUCAGAUACCGUCGUAGUCUUAACCAUAAACUAUGCCGACUAGGGAUCGGACGAUGUUAAUUUUUUAAUGACUCGUUCGGCGCCUUACGGGAAAC